CUAUCAGGAACCAGGGUUAUCUGGUAUAUUUGCUCUGCUCUUCCCUGGCACCUCUCAGUUGCUCCUGCCUGAGCAUGCUCCUCUUUUCCAUCUGUGUUGUUUUUUACCCCAGCAUACUGUUGGAAGGGUUGCUCAGAAGGCAUUUGACUGAAGGGUACUUGGAAAGACCAAACCCAAACCACAGUAGUGACCAGAUACUUAGUGGCAGCCCCAGCUGCAGGAGGCAGCUGUAUGGAGGCCAAUAUGCAGACAAGGGAAGUAACUCAGGCAUUUUGGGGGAGAGGUACAGAAAGAAGAGAAAAGACUGAACUGACUGCUGUUCUGAACAAGAACUGUGACUAUAUGUGGUACUCCCAGAAUGCUGGUUUCCUUUCAGACCCAUCAAGUGGCCGUCCUAUUGGCUUGGACUGAAGACCCCCUCUGGAGAACUGUCUCUGCAGCCUAUACUGAUGACACUGGCCACUGUCCAGGGCUCCACCCCAAGGAGUCCAAGCCCCAGACAUUUAGCCUUAGAGAGAAUCCAGAUUUUGCAUUUCCAGUGCAGGGAUUGAUGGAGCCUUGUGUAUCAAAGUGCCAAUUUCUUUCUAACAAGCUGGGGAGGAUACCGUUGACAGCAGCAGAAAGGGGUAGCAGUGGUUUGCUUUCCAAAUGGUAAUAAGAAGGUCCUGGCAGUGGCACCCUGUCCACGUAUCAUUAAAAAUGGACUCUCCUGCUUCGUUUGGAAUUCAACCCAAUGAACUUGAAUAAACUCUGGACAAUGACCAGCACAGAGCCCUGAGCAGGAUACAGCAAGAUUAUUUGCUUUACUCAUCUACUGAGUACCUACCAUGUGCCAAAUACUAUGCUAUAUACCGAGUGUACACUGGCAAAUAAAACAGAUAUGGUCCCUGGAGCCUAUGAAUCUUACCAUCUAGCCACAAAUAAUAAAAAUAAGAAGAAUCUGAAGGACAACUGGGACAGAAAUACUCAAGCAGAAUGAGGGUGAGAUUGAAGUCCCUGAACAUACAGUGCCCUUUACAUUUGAUCUUAGCCAAAAGGCCGAAAGAGAUUACAGUGCUUUUUAAAGGUAGCAUUUCACCCAGCCAAUAAUCAAUCCCUUUGUCCUUCUUGAGGUGCAAGGCCACACACUCAAAUUCUUUAAUCAAACAAUAGGCUAGUGCAAAUGGAGCUAUUUCUUAAACCCAGCUGUUUACACAGCAGCUACAAAUCUGUUCAGAAAGAAUCCCCCACCAUCCACAACUGUCUAUCGAGCAGAUGUGCAAGAGUAUUUGUCUCUCACCACCAGGGUUGCAGUCAGGACAAGAGAGCAGGUUUGAAUGUCUUCGGCUCCUAGAACUUCACAAGCUGUGUCUUCAGUGCCCAGAGGCGGCUGCAACCUCUCCCCAGUUCUCCUCUCAGAACAACGGAAAUUUUUUUUAGAGGCGUAAUAAGGAAGGUUUGCAUUGAAUUAUUAAACAAUGGGUAUUGAAAAAUAUGUUUUCUUUGACCUCUGUACUUCUAGCUUUUACCAGUCAGUGUUUUCUUGUAACAAGGCUAAGAUAUGUAUAACACUGAAAUGGAUGUCUUCUUAUAUAAUAUUUUACAAGCUUUUGAAAACCUGUGCCCUUUAAUAAAUUUUAAAACGUCUCAUGCCCUUCUUUCAUUUUCUGAAAUUCAAAAUAAAUUAAAUAUCAGGGGACACAAAAGCACAAGAAGAAAGCACUGCUUUGUUUUCAAAUCAGGCCCCAAGCCACUGCCCUUGAGAUUCUUG
This is a long non-coding RNA of Pan paniscus (pygmy chimpanzee), 1750 nucleotides long. NCBI's taxonomy places the organism in Eukaryota, Metazoa, Chordata, Mammalia, Primates, Hominidae. The record is from Ensembl.